CCUCCCUUAGUGAGAGAGUUGCCACCGGAUCCCAUAAGAACUUCGGAGUUAAGCGUGCUCAGGUGGGAGUAGUCUUUGGAUGGGUGACCACUGGAUCCUUUGUGGCAUCCA
RNAcentral lists this ribosomal RNA (111 nucleotides) under Spirodela intermedia. Its description in RNAcentral is "5". The record is from RNAcentral. Lineage: Eukaryota; Viridiplantae; Streptophyta; Magnoliopsida; Alismatales; Araceae.